Molecule: ribosomal RNA, 245 nt
Filed under: uncultured bacterium
Lineage: Bacteria
Description: partial 16S ribosomal RNA
Rfam family: Bacterial small subunit ribosomal RNA
Source: RNAcentral
GACAGAGGAGGCUAGCGUUGUUCGGAAUCACUGGGCUUAAAGCGCGUGUAGGCGGCGGAGCAAGUGUCGUGUGAAAUCCCAGGGCUCAACCUUGGAACUGCACGGCAAACUACUUCGCUUGAGGUUGGUAGAGGUGCCUGGAACUCUCGGUGGAGCGGUGAAAUGCGUUGAUAUCGAGAGGAACGCCAGAAGCGAAAGCGGGGCACUGGGCCAAUUCUGACGCUGAGACGCGAAAGCGUGGGGAG